This is a long non-coding RNA of Daphnia magna, 672 nucleotides long. RefSeq lists it as uncharacterized. The transcript is spliced from 6 exons. The record is from RefSeq and is a predicted model, not a curated record. NCBI's taxonomy places the organism in Eukaryota, Metazoa, Arthropoda, Branchiopoda, Diplostraca, Daphniidae.
GGGUGUUUGUUACGUUAUCCUGUUUUGUGUUUCAAAGGAUUUUUCGUCCAGAAAUUUACGAUUGCUUUUUGUAUAUGGUGGUGUUUCGCCUUGUCAGCUAUGCCAGCUGCAAACCAGCAGCCUGCAUUCCUGCUAUUAAUGUACCACAAAGAGAUCCUGACACUUCAAGAAGGCCACUAUUGCUUACAUAAAGAUCACCAUCCAGUUCAAAGUCUUCAUCUACUUUGUGUUGCUAACCAUCAGCCCUCAACAUCCCAGGUAUCCAGAUUUCCAAGUUUCUCUGAUUAGCCAACCAUCAUCCACACCCUUCAACUCUUCAGUGUGGCUUCUCUUCCUCUCUUCCUAGUCUACGGAAUACCAACAUUGAAUAAGGUUCCUCGUCAUUGCCUUUCCAUGAAAAUCUUCAUUGUUAAUCCUGCUGUUCUGCUCACCAUUACUUAGCCAGCUCACAUGGAUGGGCUUAACUAAGAAAAACUUCUGUGAUAGGACUGCAAAUAUUCAUCUUCCUUCGGUACAACACUACCGUUUUGACAAUUUCUGUAGUUUCGCCCCCAGUAAACCACACGCAACUACAUUUUCUUCAUCUUCCUGUCGUUGUUGUCUACGACUUCACCUCAUCGCUGUCUUCGUUGACGUCUUCGCCUUCAUCUCCGUCUCGUCGUCUUGGCCGUC